RNAcentral lists this ribosomal RNA (889 nucleotides) under Pestalotiopsis spathulata. Its description in RNAcentral is "LSU rRNA". It matches the Rfam family "Eukaryotic large subunit ribosomal RNA", at positions 44 to 958 of the family's 3401-position model. Lineage: Eukaryota; Fungi; Ascomycota; Sordariomycetes; Amphisphaeriales; Sporocadaceae. The record is from RNAcentral.
CAAUAAGCGGAGGAAAAGAAACCAACAGGGAUUGCCUUAGUAACGGCGAGUGAAGCGGCAACAGCUCAAAUUUGAAAUCUGGCCCUCGGGUCCGAAUUGUAAUUUGUAGAGGAUGAUUUUGGUGCGGUAUCUUCCGAGUUCCUUGGAACAGGACGCCUUAGAGGGUGAGAGCCCCGUACGGUUGAAUGCCUAGCCUCUGUAAAUCUCCUUCGACGAGUCGAGUAGUUUGGGAAUGCUGCUCUAAAUGGGAGGUAAAUUUCUUCUAAAGCUAAAUAUUGGCCAGAGACCGAUAGCGCACAAGUAGAGUGAUCGAAAGAUGAAAAGCACUUUGAAAAGAGGGUUAAAUAGCACGUGAAAUUGUUGAAAGGGAAGGAUUUGUGACCAGACUUUUUCUGGGCGGAUCAUCCGGGGUUCUCUCCGGUGCACUUUGCCCAGUAAAGGCCAGCAUCGAUUUUCGGCGGCGGAUAAAAGCAGUGGGAAUGUGGCUCCUUACGGGGAGUGUUAUAGCCCAUUGUAUAAUACGCUGCUGGGGAUCGAGGUACGCGCUUCUGCAAGGAUGCUGGCGUAAUGGUUAUCAAUCACCCGUCUUGAAACACGGACCAAGGAGUCGAACAUUUAUGCGAGUGUUUGGGUGUUAAACCCUCACGCGUAAUGAAAGUGAACGGAGGUGAGAGCCCUUACGGGUGCAUCAUCGACCGAUCCUGAAGUUUUCGGAUGGAUUUGAGUAAGAGCAUAACUGUUCGGACCCGAAAGAUGGUGAACUAUGCGUGGAUAGGGUGAAGCCAGAGGAAACUCUGGUGGAGGCUCGCAGCGGUUCUGACGUGCAAAUCGAUCGUCAAAUCUGCGCAUGGGGGCGAAAGACUAAUCGAACCAUCUAGUAGCUGGUUAC